This 325-nucleotide ribosomal RNA is filed under the name uncultured bacterium. RNAcentral describes it as "bacterial SSU rRNA". It matches the Rfam family "Bacterial small subunit ribosomal RNA", at positions 14 to 366 of the family's 1533-position model. The record is from RNAcentral.
UGAUCAUGGCUCAGAACGUACGCUGGCGGCACGCUUAACACAUGCAAGUCGAACGAAGUAGCAAUACUUAGUGGCAGACGGGUGAGUAACAUGUGGGUAUCUGCCCUUUGGCCUGGAAUAACACGAGGAAACUUGUGCUAAUACCGGAUAAGUCUUUACGGAGAAAGCUUUAUGCACCAUUGGAUGAGCCCGCACUUGAUUAGUUUGUUGGUGGGGUAAUGGCCCACCAAGACUGUGAUCAAUAGCUGAUUUGAGAGGAUGAUCAGCCACAUUGGGACUGAGACACGGCCCAAACUCCUACGGGAGGCAGCAGUGGGGAAUCUUG